RNAcentral lists this ribosomal RNA (253 nucleotides) under uncultured bacterium. RNAcentral's name for it is "partial 16S ribosomal RNA". It matches the Rfam family "Bacterial small subunit ribosomal RNA", at positions 524 to 776 of the family's 1533-position model. The record is from RNAcentral.
UACGGAGGGUGCGAGCGUUAAUCGGAAUUACUGGGCGUAAAGCGCACGCAGGCGGUUUGUUAAGCUAGAUGUGAAAGCCCCGGGCUCAACCUGGGAUGGUCAUUUAGAACUGGCAGACUAGAGUCUUGGAGAGGGGAGUGGAAUUCCAGGUGUAGCGGUGAAAUGCGUAGAUAUCUGGAGGAACAUCAGUGACGAAGGCGACUCCCUGGCCAAAGACUGACGCUCAUGUGCGAAAGUGUGGGUAGCGAACAGG